UUGGUUCGGGAUGGGGUUGACCGGCCCGAUCUGAAGCCCCACCCACCACGGAAGGGAAAAUGAGAAACACCACCAUGCAAGCUCGGCCGCCGUCUCCCUGUACGAGAGCCGGAAGUAGAAUGACAAGGGCUUGGCUAUGGUCUCAUGCCUCUCCGCCACUGCCGCUUCGCGUCUCAAUUGCACUUCUUCCCUUCAGUUCCAGAACAGCAAGGAUCCAAUACCGAGUAAUAGAAGGAAUCGCGAAAAGCGCCUCGUUUGGACGUCCCCUCCAACUUUAACUUCCAUUCCGAUGUCAAAGAUUCCAGCUUUUCAUGGAUACGAGGUCUCUGCAUUUCAGGUUUUGAGUUUUCGUGAUAGAAGUUCAAUCUCUGUUUAUUUCCGAUUGAGAAAAGUUCAUGAUUAUUUCCCUUUUUUUGGUGGAACCCAAGGGAGCGCGGGGCGGGAAUGUGUUUUGGGGGUGGUCGAAUCAACUUCUCCGGUGACACCAUUUACCUCACCAUUUCAUCGGAUGGCAUUCUUUUGCCCGGGAAGGGUUCGCAUUAAAUGUAAAGAAAAUAACUCCCACUAAAAUGAAAAUUAUAAGUUACUAGGUAUAAUCAGCAUGUAAUCAUCGUGGAGAUCUUCUGUUAUUCUCGUCUUGAUGAAAUUUGGGUAUAAUUAAGCCGGAUAGCUCAAGGCAUCUCCGGUUUCUGGUUUUGUAAUGUCGAAAUUCUUAGCAUUAGUGGCUGACUCCAGAACUUAAGGUAUACUCUCCUAUUUAGUUUUCUUUUGCUCUUUCCUUGAUUUAUGAUUAUUACCUGUGAAAUAUGCCACACUGUAAUAUGCCUUUCUUACUUGUGCAAUUCCAGAAUGUUAAUACAUUGAUCCUUACAAACCUCUGAAUAGUCAAAUCCAAUUCAACAAAUCACACAGUCACUAGUCACUCUUGUGCAAUUCCAGGAGGUUGAUGUUUUAGACUCAUCUUGUUUGUGUUUGAAUGUGAAAUGUCGUCACCUGGCACCUCAAUCUUCAUCCGUACUCCAUAGUCCACAGUAAGAUGUGGGUUGACUUAGAACAUUUAUGUUUCUAAUGUUUUAUUUAUGAUGCAGAAAAAUAUUUUAAAAUUAUUUGGUUUGCAAGACGCAUAUUUUUAUAUUAAACUGAUAUUUUUUUAUUGAUAUGUGAGAUUAGUGAAGCAUAACAGAUGAAAUAAUAUAAAAGAGAAGGAAACUUUAUAGCCUACUGCAAAAUGUGACCUUUUCAUGUGACAUUCUUUGAUAGAAAAUAAAGAGAAAUAAAAGAGGGGCUUGUUUAAGGUUAUUAAAUGGUUAAGGUAGUGGAGAAGCAAAUAUGAUCUCUAAGAUGAUAUGAGGACCUAAAACUCCUUAUGGGAAAUGACUAGAUGCUCCUGCUAGGGAUCUCAAGUUUUUGUGCGAGAACUGCAGAAUACAAUUUUUGCCAGCACCAAAAAUCUUAAGGAGAUCCAACAUACAGUGUGAUUCUUAUUUUAGUUCUUAAGUGUGAUGCAUGGAACAACAAAUAAUUUAUUUUCUUUAGGGACUAAAGGCUAUGAUUAGUGUUACCAUGUUUUAAUCUUUAGUUAACAUAUUAUGUGCAAAGUGCAAUGCCUUAUUCUUUUUCCCUUCAUGAAAUUUGUGUUCUCAUAUAUGUUUUCUUUCAUGGGCUUGAGCUCAUUUUUUGGGCUAUUUGAUUUUGAAAUGUAUUUGUGUUACAUGGACUCUAACAUUCAGACUUAGAAAUCAUGUCAGAUACAUAUUCACUUGACAAUGAUUCAAAGGCUUAUAGAACUCUUUAAUUUUACCAUUACAAUAUCUAAAGGCUUUAGAACUAUAACAAUUGGUUCUUUUUAUGUUUGUAAGGCUUAAUGUUCAAAAAGCAGCCAUAGUUAUGUGGAAGAUCAAGGUCUAUCUUGGUGCUCAUGACAUAUGUGGCUGCAUAUGUGUUCAACUAAAAAUUUAAGAUAAUAUUUAAUUAAGUAUAUAUAAAGAAUUAUACAAUCAAAUAUAAAGUAUUAAUAGGUAAACAUAUGAUAAGGCCAAAUUAGAAAAUAUUAUGCUAUGACAUUGACAUUCACUUAAGAACCGAUUAAAAUGAUGAAUUAUAGGAAAUGAGUAAAAGUAUAAAUUAUGAAUAUCAUCUAAUUAUGGAUCACUUAUAACAUUAGCCAAAAAUUAUAGUAUUAACCAAAAUGAUACUUAUUAGGUGGAAAUAUAUACCACAUAUGUGAUUUCAUUUUCAUACUUAUACCAGCCUCACAUUCAUGAUAGGUUUCACAUUAUAACAAUAAUGCCACAUACCCUUAUGUGAGGCAUUCAUAUAACCACAAAGGUAUAUGGAGUUGUGUCUACUGCUAGAUAGACCACAUUUUGGAAUAUUGUUCAGUGGCUUAGGCUUCUGUUGCACUUCCAGUAUUUGAUUUUUCACAAAAUUGCAACAUAAGUAUUAUGAUUUUUUUUUUCUUCUCCUGUUUGUUUCCAUAUAUCUUUUCUCUUCUCCUUGCCAAGUAGAACAUUUGGACCCCCAUCCAUAUCAUAUUAUUGUUCCUCUGUCCUUUCAACACUGUGUAUAAGAAGAACCUUUAACAUACCUGCCCCAAAGAUGAAAAUUAAAGGGUGGAUUUGGGUGCAGCUCAGAAGCAGAACAGAAACAUGGUAGUUUCCUUCAAAAAGCUUAAAAAAUUUUCAAACACUAGAAGUAGAUUAAAUGCUGGUUCAUAACCAAACCAAGAUGCAUUUACCAUUACAAAUUUACUUGUAGAGGGAUCAAAUUGUCAAGACUUGAGCAAUCAAUCACCUUACUAUGCUCUGAGCGUGAUGGAUGAAAGGAGAAGCUAACCAUCAAGGGAGUGAUGGAAUCGAGAUGCUAGAGAGGGUGACUCCAAUGGAGAAGAAGUUUAGGAACCUACAAGGUAGAUGGAAUUCCAGAUGCCAAAAGUCAGUGCUCUUUCACAUUUUUUCUAUUCGUUGCAAGUAUACAUGUGAAAUUGGAUAAUAUGAUCUAGCUUUUCCUGCUAUCCUUCAGUGCUGAUUUGGUUGUGUGUCAAUCACGUUCUUGCUCGGGUCAAAAAUUGAAGUAGAGAAAGGUGCCUUUUCUCAUUAAGACAUGGACAGAGAGGAAGCAUAUGGUGAAAGAAAGGAAGUGGUUCUCAAGACAGAUUUUUUGAGUUCUAGCGCCCAAAUGGAUGUGUGAGGGGUAGGAUGUGGCCACCAGCUAAAAAGUGGCAAUGCCAUUGGUGGUUUCUGGCUUUCUGCCAUCACCAAGCUACAGGGAAAGGAAGUGUUAUGCGCCCAUUAUCUUUCAGAAUAUUGGAGGAGUUGAGGCUGUCAGCAAGUGACCAGAGAACAAAUCAUAACCAUUUCUUUCAGGCUUCAGCUCUCCUGAUUCUUGCCCUGCCCAAGCCCGCUGUUUCACCAAGAAGGCCUCUAUGAGUUGGGGAGUGCUGCUCAUGAACAAGAGCCAAGAUAGAUUUUCCAACUCCAAGAUUGACAGGAAGGGUUAUUCAAGUGCUGCUGAAUCCACUGGAUAUGGAAUUUAACCCUAUGGGCAGACUAAUUUCACCAGAUCCAACAAAAGCACAAUGAUGGUGCCAACUUGGAGGAUAAUGUGGUGCAGGACCACCUGAUCCUAGUCAGAGAUAAGUACAGAUCAAAAGAAUCUCAAAGGUGGAUCAUUUGAUGAUUUUGUUCUCCCCCAUCAAUGUCUAAGUGAAAGAAACAAGCGCACAACCAGUCUCGAGAUGGAAUUAUUGCCAUGCAAAUCUGCUUGUUGCAACAACCACCGUUGAAUCCCUGCUGACAAAUUCAUCUCAUUCGUGCUUUUGCAAAUGUGAUGGUGAGGUUUCACCUCUGUCAUCCAAAUGAACAUGAGAUCGCAUGGCCUUUUCUCCAUCACCAAUAAGACGGACAUCUAAAGUUCGCAUGGGGAACAGAGUUUCUUGUUGUAUUGGAAUGAAAUCGCUCCUGUACUCGAUGAGACCUCUGGAAAGUUACAUCCAAUUGACAUUUGCAGGGAUAUAUGGAACUCAGUUCGGAUAGUAUUUGCUACAACAAACA
Molecule: long non-coding RNA, 4052 nt
Organism: Musa acuminata AAA Group (dessert banana)
Lineage: Eukaryota; Viridiplantae; Streptophyta; Magnoliopsida; Zingiberales; Musaceae
Exons: 5
Source: RefSeq, a predicted model, not a curated record